Molecule: ribosomal RNA, 497 nt
Filed under: uncultured bacterium
Lineage: Bacteria
Description: partial 16S ribosomal RNA
Rfam family: Bacterial small subunit ribosomal RNA
Source: RNAcentral
GAUGAACGCUGGCGGCGUGCCUAAUACAUGCAAGUCGAGCGAACGGACGAGAAGCUUGCUUCUCUGAUGUUAGCGGCGGACGGGUGAGUAACACGUGGAAAACCUACCUAUAAGACUGGGAUAACUUCGGGAAACCGGAGCUAAUACCGGAUAAUAUUUUGAACCGCAUGGUUCAAAAGUGAAAGACGGUCUUGCUGUCACUUAUAGAUGGUUCCGCGCUGCAUUAGCUAGUUGGUAAGGUAACGGCUUACCAAGGCAACGAUGCAUAGCCGACCUGAGAGGGGGAUCGGCCACACUGGAACUGAGACACGGUCCAGACUCCUACGGGAGGGAGCAGUAGGGAAUCUGACGCAAUGGGCGAAAGCCUGACGGAGCAACGCCGCGUGAGUGAUGAAGGUCUUCGGAUCGUAAAACUCUGUUAUUAGGGAAGAACAGAUGUGGAAGUAAAUGUGCACAUCUUGACGGUACCUAAUCAGAAAGCCACGGCUAACUACGUG